RNAcentral lists this long non-coding RNA (858 nucleotides) under Homo sapiens (human). RNAcentral's name for it is "OIP5 antisense RNA 1". The record is from RNAcentral. Lineage: Eukaryota; Metazoa; Chordata; Mammalia; Primates; Hominidae.
AGGGUUGGCCACCUUGAGAAGCUGCGAAGAUGGCGGAGUAAGGCGUGCCGCUGCAAACUGGCCUCUGGGCCGGGGGCGAGCAGCCCCCGGGAGGCCGAGUGCAUCUGUUGGACCGUGCGAGGAGAAGAAAAAAAAUAUCGGCCAGAGGAGAGGAACUAACCGAACAUUCUUCCUCCCUACCUUAUAGAGGGGAGUGGUCAUCUACACUAAAGCAAAGUGUUAGGCGCGUCCGUGCGAAGAGACCACCAAACAGGCUUUGUGUUCCUUAUCACAGGAAGAAAAUUUUCCUUGACCUUUAGGUGCUUUUAUAUUCAUCUCAAAAACAAAAUUCUGAACUCAGGACUUGGCAAGUGUCUCUAUGUUGUCUCCUAGAGUGGGUAGUCCUGCUUCUUUUACCCAGUUACUUUCCCGUUUUUGAAAUGUGGCUAUCACUUCUCUACACAUUACCUCCAUGAUUUGGAAUGGAAAAGGCCACUUUUCUUUUUGUUCUGCCUCUCAAAUUCAACACAGAGGAGCUCCUAGGAUUCCAGUUAUCCUGCUAACAUCUCCAGGAAGAAAGAAGCAACUCACAUGGGUCUUUUGCUGUUUGCUUAAUUAUAAAGACAUCAUUUUGCAAGCAGAAGGCUGAGUUUCAUUUGAAACAGACCACCGCUGAAACUUCACUUCUACACAGAGGCUUUCUUUCCCAGAAACCCAGACCAGAUGGAGUUUCACUCUGUCGCCCAGGCUGGAGUGCAGUGGCACGAUCUCGGCUGACUGCAGCCUCUACCUGCUGGGUUCAAGCAAUUCUUCUGCCUCAGGUUCCUGAGUAGCUGGGAUUACAGCCAAAGCUGGACUGUACUGCUGCCAUCUCGGCUC